RNAcentral lists this ribosomal RNA (440 nucleotides) under uncultured bacterium. RNAcentral describes it as "bacterial SSU rRNA". It matches the Rfam family "Bacterial small subunit ribosomal RNA", at positions 340 to 773 of the family's 1533-position model. The record is from RNAcentral.
UACGGGAGGCAGCAGUGGGGAAUAUUGCACAAUGGGCGCAAGCCUGAUGCAGCCAUGCCGCGUGUAUGAAGAAGGCCUUCGGGUUGUAAAGUACUUUCAGUCGUGAGGAAGGUGUUAAGGUUAAUAACCUUAGCAAUUGACGUUAGCGACAGAAGAAGCACCGGCUAACUCCGUGCCAGCAGCCGCGGUAAUACGGAGGGUGCGAGCGUUAAUCGGAAUUACUGGGCGUAAAGGGCACGCAGGCGGUUAAUUAAGUUGGAUGUGAAAUCCCCGGGCUUAACCUGGGAAUGGCAUUCAAGACUGGUUAGCUAGAGUCUUGUAGAGGGGGUAGAAUUCCAUGUGUAGCGGUGAAUGCGUAGAGAUGUGGAGGAAUACCGGUGGCGAAGGCGGCCCCUGGACAAAGGACUGACGCUCGAUGUGCGAAAGCGUGGGGAGCAAAC